UGAGGAAUAUUGGUCAAUGGGCGCAAGCCUGAACCAGCCAUCCCGCGUGCAGGAUGACGGCCCUAUGGGUUGUAAACUGCUUUUGUACAGGAAGAAAAAUCCCUACGUGUAGGGACCUGCCGGUACUGUACGAAUAAGCAUCGGCUAACUCCGUGCCAGCAGCCGCGGUAAUACGGAGGAUGCAAGCGUUAUCCGGAUUCAUUGGGUUUAAAGGGUGCGUAGGCGGCUCUUUAAGUCAGUGGUUAAAUCCUGUCGCUCAACGAUAGAAUUGCCAUUGAUACUGAAGAGCUUGAGUACAAUUGAGGUAAGCGGAAUGUGUAGUGUAGCGGUGAAAUGCUUAGAUAUUACACAGAACACCAAUUGCGAAGGCAGCUUACUAAACUGUCACUGACGCUGAUGCACGAAAGCGUGGGGAGCGAACA
This 422-nucleotide ribosomal RNA is filed under the name uncultured prokaryote. RNAcentral's name for it is "bacterial SSU rRNA". It matches the Rfam family "Bacterial small subunit ribosomal RNA", at positions 355 to 774 of the family's 1533-position model. The record is from RNAcentral.